UGUUUUAUUUAAAAGAGUAAACAAUCGAUGGUUUUCACUAUUGAGUAUAGUAACAUGUUUUUAAAUAAGUGGACCCUUUUAGUAACAAAUUAUACGAGGUUUUUAACAUGAUAAGGUUGAACUUACAAUUCUUCUUUGUAACAUUCCCAAAUUUGGCCUUAACAUCUGUGCCGGGUUUGGGGUGUUACAGAUAACCUCCCAACUAUAACCUUUACAAUACAAAAAUAAAAAAAUAAAAAUUUAAACCCAACUCAUUUCUCUCAAGUUGCUGCCUCACUUUUAUACAAUCUAAUCUAGGUUUUGACUUAUCAAUGACUUAACAAAUAUUUAUAAGAAUCAUCUUAAGCAUCUUUUUGGUGCAUAAAAUAUUAGCUCAUCAAUUGAGCAAGUUUAUAAAUAAUAGUAUACUCCAAAC
This 415-nucleotide long non-coding RNA is filed under the name Gossypium raimondii (Peruvian cotton). RNAcentral's name for it is "long non-coding RNA (GRAI_LNC009395)". The record is from RNAcentral. Lineage: Eukaryota; Viridiplantae; Streptophyta; Magnoliopsida; Malvales; Malvaceae.